Molecule: ribosomal RNA, 594 nt
Filed under: Trichoderma atroviride
Lineage: Eukaryota; Fungi; Ascomycota; Sordariomycetes; Hypocreales; Hypocreaceae
Description: eukaryotic LSU rRNA
Rfam family: 5.8S ribosomal RNA (bases 218-371)
Source: RNAcentral
UGCGGAGGGAUCAUUACCGAGUUUACAACUCCCAAACCCAAUGUGAACGUUACCAAACUGUUGCCUCGGCGGGAUCUCUGCCCCGGGUGCGUCGCAGCCCCGGACCAAGGCGCCCGCCGGAGGACCAACCAAAACUCUUUUUGUAUACCCCCUCGCGGGUUUUUUUAUAAUCUGAGCCUUCUCGGCGCCUCUCGUAGGCGUUUCGAAAAUGAAUCAAAACUUUCAACAACGGAUCUCUUGGUUCUGGCAUCGAUGAAGAACGCAGCGAAAUGCGAUAAGUAAUGUGAAUUGCAGAAUUCAGUGAAUCAUCGAAUCUUUGAACGCACAUUGCGCCCGCCAGUAUUCUGGCGGGCAUGCCUGUCCGAGCGUCAUUUCAACCCUCGAACCCCUCCGGGGGGUCGGCGUUGGGGAUCGGCCCUGCCUCUUGGCGGUGGCCGUCUCCGAAAUACAGUGGCGGUCUCGCCGCAGCCUCUCCUGCGCAGUAGUUUGCACACUCGCAUCGGGAGCGCGGCGCGUCCACAGCCGUUAAACACCCAACUUCUGAAAUGUUGACCUCGGAUCAGGUAGGAAUACCCGCUGAACUUAAGCAUAUCA